This 253-nucleotide ribosomal RNA is filed under the name uncultured bacterium. RNAcentral describes it as "partial 16S ribosomal RNA". It matches the Rfam family "Bacterial small subunit ribosomal RNA", at positions 524 to 776 of the family's 1533-position model. The record is from RNAcentral.
UACAGAGGUCCCAAGCGUUGUUCGGAUUCACUGUGCGUAAAGGGUGCGUAGGCGGUCGGGUAAGUCUGAUGUGAAAUCUCACAGCUUAACUGUGAAACUGCAUUGGAUACUAUCCGGCUCGAGGAAUGGAGGGGAGACUGGAAUACUUGGUGUAGCAGUGAAAUGCGUAGAUAUCAAGUGGAACACCAGUGGCGAAGGCGAGUCUCUGGACAUUUCCUGACGCUGAGGAGCGAAAGCGUGGGGAGCAAACGGG